GGUUAAGCGACUAAGCGUACACGGUGGAUGCCCUGGCAGUCAGAGGCGAUGAAGGACGUGCUAAUCUGCGAUAAGCGCCGGUAAGGUGAUAUGAACCGUUAUAACCGGCGAUUUCCGAAUGGGGAAACCCAGUGUGAUUCGUCACACUAUCAUUAACUGAAUCCAUAGGUUAAUGAGGCGAACCGGGGGAACUGAAACAUCUAAGUACCCCGAGGAAAAGAAAUCAACCGAGAUUCCCCCAGUAGCGGCGAGCGAACGGGGAGGAGCCCAGAGCCUGAAUCAGCAUGUGUGUUAGUGGAAGCGUCUGGAAAGGCGCGCGAUACAGGGUGACAGCCCCGUACACAAAAGCGCAUGUGCUGUGAGCUCGAUGAGUAGGGCGGGACACGUGGUAUCCUGUCUGAAUAUGGGGGGACCAUCCUCCAAGGCUAAAUACUCCUGACUGACCGAUAGUGAACCAGUACCGUGAGGGAAAGGCGAAAAGAACCCCGGCGAGGGGAGUGAAAAAGAACCUGAAACCGUGUACGUACAAGCAGUGGGAGCACCCUUCGGGGUGUGACUGCGUACCUUUUGUAUAAUGGGUCAGCGACUUAUAUUCUGUAGCAAGGUUAACCGUAUAGGGGAGCCGGAGGGAAACCGAGUCUUAAC
This 645-nucleotide ribosomal RNA is filed under the name Salmonella enterica. Its description in RNAcentral is "partial 23S ribosomal RNA". It matches the Rfam family "Bacterial large subunit ribosomal RNA", at positions 1 to 688 of the family's 2925-position model. RNAcentral also lists the same sequence under 1 other name. Lineage: Bacteria; Pseudomonadati; Pseudomonadota; Gammaproteobacteria; Enterobacterales; Enterobacteriaceae. The record is from RNAcentral.